Non-coding RNA from Pseudomonas putida KT2440, 87 nucleotides. Lineage: Bacteria; Pseudomonadati; Pseudomonadota; Gammaproteobacteria; Pseudomonadales; Pseudomonadaceae. The record is from Rfam.
CGUUAUGGCAGUUGUGCGCGUGAGGCCGUUUGGCCUACCGGCUUGCCUUCUCACCGGUUUUCCACCCCGCGCACAACUGCCGCCUUC